Molecule: ribosomal RNA, 1066 nt
Filed under: uncultured Duganella sp.
Lineage: Bacteria; Pseudomonadati; Pseudomonadota; Betaproteobacteria; Burkholderiales; Oxalobacteraceae
Description: bacterial SSU rRNA
Rfam family: Bacterial small subunit ribosomal RNA
Source: RNAcentral
AGAGUUUGAUCCUGGCUCAGAUUGAACGCUGGCGGCAUGCCGUACACAUGCAAGUCGAACGGCGGCACGGAGCUUGCUCUGGUGGCGAGUGGCGAACGGGUGAGUAAUAUAUCGGAACGUACCCUGGAGUGGGGGAUAACGUAGCGAAAGUUACGCUAAUACCGCAUACGAUCUAAGGAUGAAAGUGGGGGAUCGCAAGACCUCAUGCUCCUGGAGCGGCCGAUAUCUGAUUAGCUAGUUGGUAGGGUAAAAGCCUACCAAGGCAUCGAUCAGUAGCUGGUCUGAGAGGACGACCAGCUACACUGGAACUGAGACACGGUCCAAACUCCUACGGGAGGCAGCAGUGGGGAAUUUUGGACAAUGGGCGCAAGCCUGAUCCAGCAAUGCCGCGUGAGUGAAGAAGGCCUUCGGGUUGUAAAGCUCUUUUGUCAGGGAAGAAAAGGCUGCGGAUAAUACCUGUGGCUCAUGACGGUACCUGAAGAAUAAGCACCGGCUAACUACGUGCCAGCAGCCGCGGUAAUACGUAGGGUGCAAGCGUUAAUCGGAAUUACUGGGCGUAAAGCGUGCGCAGGCGGUUUUGUAAGACUGUCGUGAAAUCCCCGGGCUCAACCUGGGAAUGGCGAUGGUGACUGCAAGGCUAGAGUUUGGCAGAGGGGGGUAGAAUUCCACGUGUAGCAGUGAAAUGCGUAGAUAUGUGGAGGAACACCGAUGGCGAAAGCAGCCCCCUGGGUCAAAACUGACGCUCAUGCACGAAAGCGUGGGGAGCAAACAGGAUUAGAUACCCUGGUAGUCCACGCCCUAAACGAUGUCUACUAGUUGUCGGGUCUUAAUUGACUUGGUAACGCAGCUAACGCGUGAAGUAGACCGCCUGGGGAGUACGGUCGCAGAUUAAAACUCAGAGGAUUGACGGGACCCGCACAGCGGUGGAUGAUGUGAUUAUUUCGAUGCAACGCGGAAAACCUUAGCCUACCUUGACAUGAUGGAAUCCUUGAAAGAUUGAGAAUGCCCGAAAGGGACAGUACACAGGUGCUGCAUGCUGUCGUCAGCUCUGUCUGAAAUGUUGGGU